RNAcentral lists this ribosomal RNA (389 nucleotides) under uncultured bacterium. Its description in RNAcentral is "bacterial SSU rRNA". It matches the Rfam family "Bacterial small subunit ribosomal RNA", at positions 28 to 417 of the family's 1533-position model. The record is from RNAcentral.
GACGAACGCUGGCGGCGUGCUUAACACAUGCAAGUCGAGCGGUAAGGCCCUUUCGGGGUACGACGAGCGGCGAACGGGUGAGUAACACGUGGGUGACCUGCCCUCAGCUCUGGGAUAAGCCUGGGAAACCGGGUCUAAUACCGGAUAUGACUCCAUGACGCAUGUUGUGGGGUGGAAAGCCUUGUGCGGCUGAGGAUGGGCCCGCGGCCUAUCAGCUUGUUGGUGGGGUGAUGGCCUACCAAGGCGACGACGGGUAGCCGGCCUGAGAGGGCGACCGGCCACACUGGGACUGAGACACGGCCCAGACUCCUACGGGAGGCAGCAGUGGGGGAAUCUUGCGCAAUGGGCGAAAGCCUGACGCAGCGACGCCGCGUGAGGGAUGACGGCCU